CACUGAAAAGAACAAGCACUGUUUUCCUCACUCACCUCAGCUUCUUGGACAUCUACCCAACAGCAAACAAGAAACUACAUCAACCAAUAUGACCACUGGGAAUCUAGGGAAAAGAUUUAUUUCAUCCAAAAUUUUGGACAAAUGAUGAGUGGUUACUGGCUAGAAUGAAGGAAGGCUCUCUGCCAGAGUGGGGCAAUGGAUCCCAACCUUCAGCAUGCUGAAGAACUGGUGGGAAAGUUCAGUGGAGGAUGGGGAUCUACCUUUUUAACUAAUUUUAAUGCAAGUGAUUCUUGGGGCAGAAUUGGAGAAAUUCUGGGUACAAUUGGCAUGAACAUAAAUGUUCACUGAAGAAAACUUAAUAGUGACAACUAAUAGGUACUGCCUACUUACUGAAUAUCAGGUGCAAUCCUAGAUGAUAUACCAUCUCAGUGAAUCCUCAGAUCAACACCAUGAAGCUGGCACUAUCACACCCCUAUUUGACAGGGGAAGAAAUGGAGGUAUCAUGUUCCAGCAACUUUCCAAAGCUGCAGAGCUGGACGGAGUAGAGCAGGGGCCUGACCCCAAGCCCCUGAAUUGUAACAGAUAGCUUAGUCCUUCCAUUUAUCCAUUUUUGUAACUAAAAUGGAAUCAGGCUGUCAUUUGUCACGUGUUCUUUUCACUUAUCACAUGUGACCUUCUUUGAUGGACAUGGUUGACAGUGUUCUGUGCCCCACCACUAUGGGACAUGUGCUUUCACAGGCAUCCAAUGUUCUCUGAGAUAUCAUAUCUGGGAUGCCAGAUUCUAAACCCCAAAGCCUCAGGAACAUCAGGCUGUAGCAGCUUAAGAUGAGAAGACAGCAAGGUGUGUGGGUUGGUUAAGAGUCUGACUCUUGAUUUCGCCUCAUGUCAUGAUCUCACGGUUAAUGAGAUCAAGCCCCGUGUAGGGCUCUGCACUGACGGCAUAGAGCCUGCCUGCGAUUCUCUCUCCCCCUUCCCUGCUUAUUCCCUCUCUCUCUCUCUCUCUCUCUCUCUCAAAACAAAUAAACAUUAAAAAAAAAAAAAGGACAAGAAGAGAGGCCAUUGAGAGAAGGUUGUCUGGGGUAUGAAGCAGCCACCAGCAGGAAGCAUUAGAAGGUUUUGAGGACCCAGGUCCUCUGAACACAAGAAUUAGCCCUUGGCCGAGAAGAGAACUUUAAUACACUGGAAUAUCUCAAGAACAUAAAAGCAACUGAAUGAUGCAACUUUUUAAAAGUCGGUCUUGGUUCAAAUGACAGAGUCUUCCUGUCCUUUGGUUCAGUUCAAUGAACGCUGAUGGAGGAUGUCUCUUACACAGCAGCUCUUAAAAGACAAAACAAACAAGAUUUGAUCUCCACUCCCGGGAACCUGACAAGUGGGGAGUAAGCCGCAGAAACUGGUAACUUUGAAACUUUAAACUAAGGUGCUGCCGUGAGAACACAAGCAAGACGUUCUAUGGGACCCCAGAGGGCAGACAUCAGGCUCUUAGAAACCAGAGCUGAGUCUUAAAGCAUGAACCAGAGUCAGCAGGUGAGGAGGACAGAAAGAGUGUUCCAGACAGAGGUAACAGCAUGGGUAAAGGGCCAGGCUAUACUCCCAGGAUAUAGAUGAAACCAGUUUUCAUUAAUAUACUCUAUAGUUACCAAGCAUGACUUUUUAAUCAAUCCUUAAUUUGGCCCCAAAGCAAAAAAGUGAUAAGUAUAUAUUCCUUUAACUACUGUUCAAAGAUUGUUUACAGUCAAGCACAAACAUUCUUAAAGGAUAUAAAACAAAAGUUCUAGACACACUUGGUGUCGAUUUUGGAUAAAAAGGAAAUGGAAGAAGAUCUCUGUUAUUGGAAGGACCAUAAAAAUAAUCUGCAUUAAACCACAAAAACAAAUCUAAAACUUAAUUUUUUUUUUUGCAUAUUAAAAAAUAACAUCUCCAAAGCAGUGGAUAGAGGCAUCCCUUACAUUUCUCAGGCACUAACUAUUUUUAGAAUGUGUUCACCCUUGGGGUGCCUGGGUGGCUCAGUUGGUUCAUGGGUUCAUGGUUUCAAGCCCCACAUGGGACUGUGCUGACAGCUCUGAGCCUGGAGCCUGCUUCAGAUUCUGUCUCUCUCUC
Molecule: long non-coding RNA, 2097 nt
Organism: Leopardus geoffroyi (Geoffroy's cat)
Lineage: Eukaryota; Metazoa; Chordata; Mammalia; Carnivora; Felidae
Exons: 3
Source: RefSeq, a predicted model, not a curated record